GAUUGUCGCCGUCUUUGGCCGUCACGUCGUCGGCCUUGGAGCUCUGGCGAAAGAAAGAAAAUUACGAGAACCAGAUUUAAUGGCCGAGGAAUUUGUCUCCGCCCCGACUUUGCUAAAAGCUUCCACGUUGAUUUUCUCCGUCGUCAGUCUCGUCGUUUGCUUUUCCUACCUGUCAACGGCGACUUUGGUGGGCGUGGCACAUUCAGAUGAGCUGUGCAGCGAGGAAAUGGAGAUGACGGACUGACGAACGGAUCUCAGCACGGAGCAAGCUCUUUGAAACAUUCCUCCAUGCGCUCGUGGAAGGGACGCAGGGCGUCGGAGACUCUUUUGCCGUGGAGGGCGAUGCCUGCGCCCAGCAGCGGGAUCUACAAAGGCAAAGGUGAAUCGGAGGCCUGCGGGUACAGCGGG
Long non-coding RNA from Syngnathoides biaculeatus (alligator pipefish), 408 nucleotides. RefSeq lists it as uncharacterized. Lineage: Eukaryota; Metazoa; Chordata; Actinopteri; Syngnathiformes; Syngnathidae. The record is from RefSeq and is a predicted model, not a curated record. The transcript is spliced from 3 exons.